RNAcentral lists this ribosomal RNA (482 nucleotides) under uncultured bacterium. Its description in RNAcentral is "partial 16S ribosomal RNA". It matches the Rfam family "Bacterial small subunit ribosomal RNA", at positions 30 to 523 of the family's 1533-position model. The record is from RNAcentral.
AGUGAACGUUGGCGGCGUGGAUUAGGCAUGCAAGUCGAGCGAGAACCGUAGCAAUACGGGGACAGCGGCGAAAGGGACAGUAAUGUGUAGGUACCUACCCCGAGGUCUGGGAUAGCUGCGGGAAACUGCAGGUAAUACCGGAUAAUGUCUUCGGACCAAAGGUGUGAUUCCACCUUGGGAGGGGCCUGCAUCCUAUUAGCUAGUUGGCGGGGUAAUGGCCCACAAAGGCGACGAUGGGUAGCGGGUGUGAGAGCACGACCCGCGUCAUUGGGACUGAGACACUGCCCAGACACCUACGGGUGGCUGCAGGCGAGGAUCUUCGGCAAUGGGCGAAAGCCUGACCGGGCGACGCCGCGUGCGGGAUGAAGGCCGUCGGGUUGUAAACUGCUGUCGUAGAGGAGGAAAUGCAGGUGGGUUCUCCCAUCUGUUUGACCUAUUCUAGGAGGAAGUACGGGCUAAGUUCGUGCCAGCCGCCGCAGUAA